UCAGGUACCAUCUAGGUGCUAUCCAGGUAUUAUCAGGUACUAUCCAGGUGCUAUCCAGGUAUUAUCAGGUACUAUCCAGGUGCUAUCCAAGUAUUAUCAGGCACUAGCAGGUAUUAUCAGGUACUGUCAAGG
Long non-coding RNA from Melanotaenia boesemani (Boeseman's rainbowfish), 132 nucleotides. RefSeq lists it as uncharacterized. NCBI's taxonomy places the organism in Eukaryota, Metazoa, Chordata, Actinopteri, Atheriniformes, Melanotaeniidae. The transcript is spliced from 3 exons. The record is from RefSeq and is a predicted model, not a curated record.